AAUAAUUAAUUUACUUUUUUAAAAAAAAAAUCAUUUUUAGGANAAUUAUCUUUAAUUUUAGUAUUUUAUUGAAAUAAGUUUAUUUGUAAUAGUUUACUAGUACUGUAAAGUAGUAUUGAAAUAUAAUGAAAAAUUAAUUUUUUAAAAGCAUACUUUAUUGUAGUACCUUUUGUAUCAGGGGUGAUUAAAUUUCAUUUAAUUUAUAUUAAGU
RNAcentral lists this ribosomal RNA (211 nucleotides) under Hetaerina occisa. RNAcentral's name for it is "partial 16S ribosomal RNA". Lineage: Eukaryota; Metazoa; Arthropoda; Insecta; Odonata; Calopterygidae. The record is from RNAcentral.